Molecule: unclassified non-coding RNA, 378 nt
Filed under: uncultured Kofleriaceae bacterium
Lineage: Bacteria; Pseudomonadati; Myxococcota; Haliangiales; Kofleriaceae
Description: contains 16S-23S intergenic spacer region
Source: RNAcentral
UCCGACUUGACGUCGGCAGUCUCGUUAGAGUGCCCCACUUAAGGCUGGCAACUAACGACAGAGGUUGCGCUCGUUGCGGGACUUAACCCAACAUCCCACGACACGAGCUGACGACAGCCAUGCAGCACCUUCUCAUUCGCUCCCCGAAGGGCAAACCAACAUCUCUGCUAGCUUCGAAUGGAUUUAACCCAGGUAAGGUUCUGCGCGUUGCGUCGAAUUGAACCACAUGCUCCACCGCUUGUGCGGGCCCCCGUCAAUUCCUUUGAGUUUUAGCCUUGCGGCCGUACUCCCCAGGCGGAGUGCCUAACGCGUUAGCUGCGGCACCGCGGGGGUCAAUACCCACAGCACCUAGCACUCAUCGUUUACGGCGUGGACUAC